This 373-nucleotide ribosomal RNA is filed under the name uncultured bacterium. RNAcentral's name for it is "bacterial SSU rRNA". It matches the Rfam family "Bacterial small subunit ribosomal RNA", at positions 524 to 898 of the family's 1533-position model. The record is from RNAcentral.
UACGUAGGGGGCGAGCGUUAUCCGGAAUUAUUGGGCGUAAAGAGUGCGUAGGUGGUUUUUUAAGCGUGGGGUGAAAGGCAAUGGCUCAACCAUUGUAAGCCUUGCGAACUGGAAGACUUGAGUGCAGGAGAGGAAAGCGGAAUUCCUAGUGUAGCGGUGAAAUGCGUAGAUAUUAGGAGGAACACCAGUGGCGAAGGCGGCUUUCUGGACUGUAACUGACACUGAGGCACGAAAGCGUGGGGAGCAAACAGGAUUAGAUACCCUGGUAGUCCACGCCGUAAACGAUGAGCACUAGGUGUCGGGGUCGCAAGGCUUCGGUGCCGCAGUUAACGCAUUAAGUGCUCCGCCUGGGGAGUACGCACGCAAGUGUGAA